GCUAUGUAAAAGGUGGCUAUGCUACCGCUUUUGGAUGGGCCCGCGGCGCAUUAGCUAGUUGGUGGGGUAAAGGCUUACCAAGGCAAUGAUGCGUAGCCGAACUGAGAGGUUGAUCGGCCACAUUGGGACUGAGACACGGCCCAAACUCCUACGGGAGGCAGCAGUAGGGAAUCUUCCACAAUGGGCGAAAGCCUGAUGGAGCAACGCCGCGUGGGUGAAGAAGGUCUUCGGAUCGUAAAACCCUGUUGUUAGAGAAGAAAGUGCGUGAGAGUAACUGUUCACGUUUCGACGGUAUCUAACCAGAAAGCCACGGCUAACUACGUGCCAGCAGCCGCGGUAAUACGUAGGUGGCAAGCGUUAUCCGGAUUUAUUGGGCGUAAAGGGAACGCAGGCGGUCUUUUAAGCCUGAUGUGAAAGCCUUCGGCUUAACCGGAGU
RNAcentral lists this ribosomal RNA (436 nucleotides) under uncultured bacterium. RNAcentral's name for it is "bacterial SSU rRNA". It matches the Rfam family "Bacterial small subunit ribosomal RNA", at positions 195 to 619 of the family's 1533-position model. The record is from RNAcentral.